UACGGAGGGCGCAAGCGUUGUUCGGAAUCACUGGGCGUAAAGCGCGUGUAGGCGGCCGGGCAAGUCGGAUGUGAAAUCCCGAGGCUCAACCUCGGAACUGCACUCGAAACUGCUCGGCUCGAGUCUUGGAGAGGAUGGCGGAAUUCCCGGUGUAGGGGUGAAAUCCGUAGAUAUCGGGAGGAACACCAGCGGCGAAGGCGGCCAUCUGGACGGUGACUGACGCUGAGACGCGAAAGCGUGGGGAGCAAACAGG
RNAcentral lists this ribosomal RNA (253 nucleotides) under uncultured bacterium. RNAcentral describes it as "partial 16S ribosomal RNA". It matches the Rfam family "Bacterial small subunit ribosomal RNA", at positions 524 to 776 of the family's 1533-position model. The record is from RNAcentral.